UGGCGAACGGGUGAGUAACGCGUGAGGAACCUGCCUCAAANAGGGGGACAACAGUUGGAAACGACUGCUAAUACCGCAUAAGCCCACGGGUCGGCAUCGACCAGAGGGAAAAGGAGCAAUCCGCUUUGAGAUGGCCUCGCGUCCGAUUAGCUAGUUGGUGAGGUAACGGCCCACCAAGGCAACGAUCGGUAGCCGGACUGAGAGGUUGAACGGCCACAUUGGGACUGAGACACGGCCCAGACUCCUACGGGAGGCAGCAUG
This 261-nucleotide ribosomal RNA is filed under the name uncultured bacterium. RNAcentral's name for it is "partial 16S ribosomal RNA". It matches the Rfam family "Bacterial small subunit ribosomal RNA", at positions 96 to 353 of the family's 1533-position model. The record is from RNAcentral.